GGAUUGUAGGCUGCAACCCGCCUGCAUGAAGUUGGAAUUGCUAGUAAUCGCGGAUCAGCAUGCCGCGGUGAAUACGUUCCCAGGGAUUGUACACACCGCCCGUCACACCAUGAGAGUCGGGAACACCCAAAGUCCGUAGUCUAACCGCAAGGAGGGCGCGGCCUAAGGUGGGUUCGAUAAUUGGGGUGAAGUCGUAACAAGGUACC
RNAcentral lists this ribosomal RNA (206 nucleotides) under uncultured bacterium. RNAcentral describes it as "partial 16S ribosomal RNA". It matches the Rfam family "Bacterial small subunit ribosomal RNA", at positions 1295 to 1500 of the family's 1533-position model. The record is from RNAcentral.